GGGCCCGCACAAGCGGUGGAGCAUGUGGUUUAAUUCGAUGAUACGCGAGGAACCUUACCUGGGCUCGAACGCUAAUUGAUCGCGCUCCGAAAGGAGGCUUUCCUUCGGGACAAUUAGUGAGGUGCUGCAUGGUUGUCGUCAGCUCGUGCCGUGAGGUGUUGGUUAAGUCCCGCAACGAGCGCAACCCCUAUUGUUAGUUGCCAGCAUGUUAUGGUGGGGACUCUAACAAGACUGCCGGCGUAAGCCGCGAGGAAGGUGGGGAUGACGUCAAAUCAUCAUGGCCUUUAUGCCCAGGGCGACACACGUGCUACAAUGGUCGGUACAGAGGGAAGCUACCCCGUAAGGGGAUGCGGA
Molecule: ribosomal RNA, 354 nt
Filed under: uncultured bacterium
Lineage: Bacteria
Description: bacterial SSU rRNA
Rfam family: Bacterial small subunit ribosomal RNA
Source: RNAcentral